Long non-coding RNA from Capra hircus (goat), 280 nucleotides. RefSeq lists it as uncharacterized. Lineage: Eukaryota; Metazoa; Chordata; Mammalia; Artiodactyla; Bovidae. The record is from RefSeq and is a predicted model, not a curated record. The transcript has 3 exons.
UUGACUUCUCUGCCAGCAGGGAGGUGGCGGCUUCCGGGCUUGCGUGCGCUGGGUCGUAUACUAGCCAGAGGGAUUCUUGAGCCAGCUGUUUUGUCUGUUCAAAGCCUUUUUAAGACCACUCAUGGCCGACCCGAUCAGAACGGCUCUAGGUGGCAAGCUCCCUGACUAAGCACUGCAGCUCUUCUUCCAAUAUCGAGCCCUGUCCCACUGGUCCUGCCCAGCAGCCACAUGGAGUACUCAUGUAUGGAUGUGAGAGUUGGACUGUGAAGAAAGCUGAGUG